AUUAGCAAAGUUUUAAUAAAGAUGUAGGGUUUAAAGCUCUAUGGUGGUAUACUGCCUGCUGAUUC
This 65-nucleotide transfer RNA is filed under the name Perumytilus purpuratus. Its description in RNAcentral is "tRNA-Leu". The record is from RNAcentral. Lineage: Eukaryota; Metazoa; Mollusca; Bivalvia; Mytilida; Mytilidae.